GGUACACGUCAUUUUAUUCCUCCCUGAAAAAAGAGGUUUACAACCCAUAGGCAGUCUUCCCUCACGCGGUAUUGCUCCGUCAGGCUUUCGCCCAUUGCGGAAAAUUCCCCACUGCUGCCUCCCGUAGGAGUA
Molecule: ribosomal RNA, 132 nt
Filed under: uncultured cyanobacterium
Lineage: Bacteria; Bacillati; Cyanobacteriota
Description: partial 16S ribosomal RNA
Source: RNAcentral